RNAcentral lists this ribosomal RNA (253 nucleotides) under uncultured bacterium. Its description in RNAcentral is "partial 16S ribosomal RNA". It matches the Rfam family "Bacterial small subunit ribosomal RNA", at positions 524 to 776 of the family's 1533-position model. The record is from RNAcentral.
GACGGAGGGUGCAAACGUUGUUCGGAAUUACUGGGCGUAAAGCGCGUGUAGGCUGCUCUGCAAGUCGGAUGUGAAAGCCCUGGGCUCAACCUAGGAAGUGCACUCGAAACUGCAGAGCUUGAGUCCUGGAGAGGAAGGCGGAAUUCUCGGUGUAGAGGUGAAAUUCGUAGAUAUCGAGAGGAACACCGGUGGCGAAGGCGGCCUUCUGGACAGUGACUGACGCUGAGACGCGAAAGCGUGGGGAGCAAACAGG